AGCAAGACACUGAAAAUGUCUAGAUGGGCAUUAUUGCCCCAUCAACA
RNAcentral lists this transfer RNA (47 nucleotides) under Stenella longirostris (spinner dolphin). Its description in RNAcentral is "partial tRNA-Phe". The record is from RNAcentral. Lineage: Eukaryota; Metazoa; Chordata; Mammalia; Artiodactyla; Delphinidae.